GACGAACGCUGGCGGCGUGCUUAACACAUGCAAGUCGAACGGAAAGACCCUGCUUUUGUGGGGUGCUCGAGUGGCGAACGGGUGAGUAACACGUGAGUAACCUGCCCUUGACUUUGGGAUAACUUCAGGAAACUGGGGCUAAUACCGGAUAGGAGCUCCUGCUGCAUGGUGGGGGUUGGAAAGUUUCGGCGGUUGGGGAUGGACUCGCGGCUUAUCAGCUUGUUGGUGGGGUAGUGGCUUACCAAGGCUUUGACGGGUAGCCGGCCUGAGAGGGUGACCGGCCACAUUGGGACUGAGAUACGGCCCAGACUCCUACGGGAGGCAGCAGUGGGGAAUAUUGCACAAUGGGCGGAAGCCUGAUGCAGCAACGCCGCGUGCGGGAUGACGGCAUUCGGGUUGUAAACCGCUUUCGCCUGUGACGAAGCGUGAGUGACGGUAAUGGGUAAAGAAGCACCGGCUAACUACGUG
This 468-nucleotide ribosomal RNA is filed under the name uncultured bacterium. Its description in RNAcentral is "partial 16S ribosomal RNA". It matches the Rfam family "Bacterial small subunit ribosomal RNA", at positions 28 to 507 of the family's 1533-position model. The record is from RNAcentral.